Macaca mulatta (Rhesus monkey) is the source of this 1710-nucleotide long non-coding RNA. The record is from Ensembl. NCBI's taxonomy places the organism in Eukaryota, Metazoa, Chordata, Mammalia, Primates, Cercopithecidae.
GGCCUCGCGCGCCCCGUCCUGGGAGACCGAUCUCGCCCUCGCGUUGGCGGCGUCCCCUGCCGGCCGGGCGGCGAUUUGCAGGCCCAGCCGGCGCCGGUUUCACGCGGCGGCUCAACGUUCGCGGAGCCCCACGAGUACCCACCCGCUGGUCAGAUCGGCGGCCGCUGCCGCGGGGAGAAGCAGUAGCGUGUAGGGCGGGCACGCUGGUCCUGCUUCCAGUUGGGCUUCGAUUUUACACGUGAAGAAAGGAUGUCUCAGAGGAGUUAGAGAAGAGCAAUUAAUAGACAGUGCUAAAGCCUGGAUCUCCUGAAUCCUGGAUGAAAGUGUCAUAAGUUAGAUUCCUGGGAAGAAAAUUCUGAGACACAUUCUGCUGGAUGAUUAUUAGGGCUCAUCCUUGGUUUCAACACCCAUAGAAGGAAGGGGGAAGAAGGAAUCGAACAGAGGAGAGACAGAAGUCGAGAUGCAUUUCAGGCCGGGACUCUUGACUGAACCCACAGGAGCUUUGGAGCUAGAAUGGCCCUUCAGAGUUUUCCUGAGUUGGGCUGAGAUGGCCAGUUCUUUAUAUUCCUGCAUGGGAUAGUCACUGGAUGUCCACCCCAGGAAGCAGUGUGGCCAAGACAGUCCCUGAAAUGCCUGCCAGCACUCCCUAUACCUGGAGCAAUGAGACCAACAUCACAGGGGGAUAUACUGGGUGAGGAUCACAGCAUUCAUCCCAGAAGAUGAGGAUACAGAAUUGGCUGACUGCUACAUUCUAAAUGUCAAUGUUCCCCAAAAUUCAUAUGUUGAAACUUAAUUCCCCAAUGUGAUGGCAUUAGGAAAGGGGGCCUUUGGGAGGGGCUAUAGGUCAUGAGUGGGAUUAGUGUCCAGAGAGCUGCCUUGCCCUUCCACCAUGUGAGGACAUAGUGAGAAGGUGCCAUCUAUGAACGAGGAAGUGGGCGCUUACUACCAGACACCCACUCUUCGGGCAACUUAAUCUUGAAUUUCCCAGCAUCCAGAACUCUGAGAAAUCAAUUUCUGCUGAUUAUAAGCUACCCAGUCCAUAGCAUUUUGUUAAAGCAGCUGAAACUAAACUAAGACAGUGACGUUUUCUGCAACAAAAAGAUAGAGUGAGUCUCUAUAGCAUACCAUGUAACAGAUGUGUUUGGAAAAAUAACCUCAUUUCAUAUGUUUCCUCAAGCUAAAAAGAAUAUCAUAACAACAAAUGAGAAAAUAGUUGGUUUAGAAAUAUUGCACCCUAUGGAGAGAGUAUUUUGGAUUUGGUUUUUUUGUUUUGUUUUUAACUUUUGUUUUAGGUUCAGGGGCACAUAUGCAGGCUGGUUAUAUAGGUAAACUCAUGUCACAGGGAUUUGUUGUACAGAUAAUUUCAUCACCCAGGUACUAAGCCUAGUACCCAAUAGUUGCUCUUUUUCCUCCUCUCCCUCCUCCCACCCUCCACCCUCAAAUAGGCCCCAGUUUGUGUUGUUCCUUUCAUUAUGUUCAUGAAGUUGAGAGAGUGUUUUGAAAAAGAAUGUUGGAAAGCAUUUCCACUGUUAGAUGAUUUUAAGUCAAAAAGUUAUAUAACAGUGUCACCUAUCUAGAUGCACACAAGCAUGGACACAGAAUUGUUUCAUAUGUUUAAAACUUUUCUAGAUCCUUUUGUGGUUCAUAAGCUUGAUGAUUGAGUUUUCACGUCCACGUGUGAGAUGUGCCUCCCUUGAGCCUUGUUACAAC